AUUUAAAUAGUUUAAUAAAAAAUAUUGAUUUGUGGUGUCAAUGAUAUGAAAUUUCUCAUUUUAAAUC
RNAcentral lists this transfer RNA (67 nucleotides) under Pericoma sp. ZHK-2021. RNAcentral describes it as "tRNA-His". The record is from RNAcentral. Lineage: Eukaryota; Metazoa; Arthropoda; Insecta; Diptera; Psychodidae.